GCUACAGGCUUAACACAUGCAAGUCGAGGGACCGGCGCACGGGUGAGUAACGCGUAUCCAACCUGCCCAUCACUUGGGGAUAACCUUGCGAAAGUAAGACUAAUACCCAAUGGUGAUGGAUGGGGAUGCGUCUGAUUAGCUUGUUGGCGGGGUAACGGCCCACCAAGGCGACGAUCAGUAGGGGUUCUGAGAGGAAGGUCCCCCACAUUGGAACUGAGACACGGUCCAAACUCCUACGGGAGGCAGCAGUGAGGAAUAUUGGUCAAUGGGCGAGAGCCUGAACCAGCCAAGUAGCGUGCAGGAUGACGGCCUAUGGGUUGUAAACUGCUUUUAUAAGGGAAUAUGUACCUUAUGAAUAAGGACCGGCUAAUUCCGUGCCAGCAGCCGCGGUAAUACGGAAGGUCCGGGCGUUAUCCGGAUUUAUUGGGUUUAAAGGGAGCGUAGGCCGGAGAUUAAGCGUGUUGUGAAAUGUAGAGGCUCAACCUCUGCACUGCAGCGCGAACUGG
RNAcentral lists this ribosomal RNA (506 nucleotides) under uncultured bacterium. RNAcentral's name for it is "bacterial SSU rRNA". It matches the Rfam family "Bacterial small subunit ribosomal RNA", at positions 39 to 636 of the family's 1533-position model. The record is from RNAcentral.